AUGGCGAUGGCCAGGACUACGACGCUCCUGCUGGUCGCCGCGGCUCUCCUCGGGGCCUCAUGCAGCGCGUGGGAGGUCAACAUCCGCAUGCCGACCUCGGCCGCGGACGUGGACGAGGCCGUGGUGGCGCCGCUGAUCCAUGCGCUGCGGCCGCUGCUGGGUUCCGGCAAGCACGCCGGAGUGGAGUGCGACAGCUGGGUGCUGGGCGUGGAGGCGCACAACGUGCGGGACUGGAAGACGGUGCCCGCCAGCUGCGAGGGCUACGUCGGCCAUUACAUGCUCGGCAAGCACUUCCGCCGCGACUCCAAGAUCGUCAUCGACCAGGCCCUCGCAUACGUCGACAACCUCAAGCUCGCCGGCAACGGCAAGGAGGUGUGGGUCUUCGACAUCGACGAGACCACCCUCUCCAACCUCCCCUACUACGCCAAGCACGGCUUCGGGGCUACACCGUUCAACGCGACGAGCUUCAAUGCGUACGUGCUGGAGGGGAGCGCGCCAGCGCUGCCAGAGACGAAGAGGUUGUACAACAAGCUGCUCUCGGUCGGCAUCAAGCCGGUGUUCCUCACUGAAAGGACCGAGGACCAGAGGGCCGUCACCAUCACCAACCUCCGCCGCCAGGGGAUCUCCGGCUGGAUGAACCUGCUGCUGAAGCAGCCCGGUUUCAAGGGCUCUGCGGUGAACUACAAGUCCGGCGAGAGGCAGAAGCUGCAGGACGCUGGGUUCGUCAUCGUCGGCAACAUCGGCGAUCAGUGGAGCGACAUCCUUGGCGCGCCGGAGGGCGCCCGCACGUUCAAGCUCCCCGACCCCAUGUACUACAUCGGCUAG
This 825-nucleotide ribosomal RNA is filed under the name Triticum aestivum (bread wheat). RNAcentral's name for it is "partial small subunit ribosomal RNA". Lineage: Eukaryota; Viridiplantae; Streptophyta; Magnoliopsida; Poales; Poaceae. The record is from RNAcentral.